UGAGGAACAUGACCUUCGGCGGGGAAUAGCCGGCCCAACGGCCGGGUAAUACCGCGUACGACCUUUUGGGGACAUCCCCGAGGGGUGAAAGCAGCAAUGCGCCGAAAGAGUGCCUCGCGGCCUAUCAGCUAGUUGGUGGGGUAAUGGCUCACCAAGGCGACGACGGGUAGCUGGUCUGAGAGGACGACCAGCCACACUGGAACUGAGAUACGGUCCAGACUCCUACGGGAGGCAG
This 235-nucleotide ribosomal RNA is filed under the name uncultured bacterium. RNAcentral describes it as "partial 16S ribosomal RNA". It matches the Rfam family "Bacterial small subunit ribosomal RNA", at positions 118 to 351 of the family's 1533-position model. The record is from RNAcentral.